Long non-coding RNA from Myxocyprinus asiaticus (Chinese sucker), 171 nucleotides. RefSeq lists it as uncharacterized. Lineage: Eukaryota; Metazoa; Chordata; Actinopteri; Cypriniformes; Catostomidae. The record is from RefSeq and is a predicted model, not a curated record. The transcript has 3 exons.
UAUGGAACGGGCUCUCAGGACGCUGUUAUUACUCUUGUUAGUUCAGAAUUUCCACCUCCUGUGUUCCAAAUCCAGACUGUUGAGAGUACUGAGAGAAAACCAUCCAUCUCAGCACAGCCAAUACACUCAUAUAGGAAAGUUGAUGUGCGUUUUGAAGAGUUUAUAAAGUUC